This 552-nucleotide ribosomal RNA is filed under the name Nematoda sp. ZTSP81. Its description in RNAcentral is "SSU rRNA". It matches the Rfam family "Eukaryotic small subunit ribosomal RNA", at positions 123 to 679 of the family's 1831-position model. The record is from RNAcentral. Lineage: Eukaryota; Metazoa; Nematoda.
GAUCUUGAUUUACUUGGAUAACUGUGGUAAUUCUAGAGCUAAUACAUGCAGCUAACCUUCGACCUCUGGAAGGAGCGCAUUUAUUAGACCAAGACCAAUCAGGCUUUGCCUGGAAUCUGGUGACUCUGAAUAACUUCGCUGAUCACACAGUCUAGAACUGGUGACAUAUCUUUCAAGUGUCUGCCCUAUCAACUUUCGAUGGUAGUUUAUGUGCCUACCAUGGUGGUAACGGGUAACGGAAAAUAAGGGUUCGACUCCGGAGAGGGAGCCUGAAAAAUGGCUACCACAUCCAAGGAAGGCAGCAGGCGCGCAAAUUACCCAAUCUCAGUCCGAGGAGGGAGUGACGAAAAAUAACGAGACAGUUCUCUAUGAGGCCUGUCAUCGGAAUGGGUACAAUUUAAACCCUUUAACGAGGAUCUAUUGGAGGGCAAGUCUGGUGCCAGCAGCCGCGGUAAUUCCAGCUCCAAUAGCAUAUACCAAUUCUGUUGCUGUUAAAAAGCUCCUAGUUGGAUCGUAUUCUAUGGCCGAGUCUGUCUCAAUGACAUGUACUCU